GCCUAGCUGGCUCAGUCGGUAGAGCAUGCAACUCUUGAUCUCCGGGUUAUAGGUUCAAGUCCCAUGUUGGGUG
RNAcentral lists this transfer RNA (73 nucleotides) under Canis lupus familiaris (dog). It matches the Rfam family "tRNA". From Rfam's summary of the family: Transfer RNA (tRNA) molecules are approximately 80 nucleotides in length. Their secondary structure includes four short double-helical elements and three loops (D, anti-codon, and T loops). The record is from Rfam by way of RNAcentral. RNAcentral also lists the same sequence under 2 other names. Lineage: Eukaryota; Metazoa; Chordata; Mammalia; Carnivora; Canidae.